Molecule: long non-coding RNA, 1172 nt
Filed under: Strigops habroptila (Kakapo)
Lineage: Eukaryota; Metazoa; Chordata; Aves; Psittaciformes; Psittacidae
Description: lncRNA (ENSSHBG00005002110.1)
Source: RNAcentral
GAGCAUGUUCAGAACCACUUUGCUUUUGAGAUUAAACAAGAUUGGAUGUAGUGAGACCAGCAUAUCUAUAGGCUACAUCUGCCAAGUAGAGCAAAGUAAUUAUCUUCUGUGCCUUACAUUCAGCACACCUGCUAAGUGUCCCAACAGGUACAAUAUCAAAGAAAAUUUAAAUUAACUUAAAAGCAUUAAAAAUUAUUCACAUUGCCAGUGGAACUGGUGGAGAAAAUUACGGUUAGCUUUCCAAUAAAGUAUACGGGAUAAUACUUUUAGCAAUUCACUAUUUUAGCAUUUAACCCAAUUUACAAUUAAUCAUUUCUUUCUUUCUAAUACAGUCUCAGUGUGAGUUAUGUUUUGCAGUGAAACCACUAACCUCAAAAAAACAACAGAAAAAGAGAUUAGUUUUUGGGUUUUGUUGUUGCUGUUGCCUUGGUUUUGGUUUUCUGUUUUUCUGGUUUUUUGUAUUUUUGGUUGGUGGUUUGUUUUUUGUGGGUUUUUUUUUUUUUUUUUUUUUUUUUUGUUUGUUCAUUUUUUUUUUAAUUAACCUUUAAAAAAAAAGGUUAAUUUCAGCAGGGUCACUUCCCUGAGCUGUCACAGUUCUGUGUGUGGCUGUGCAGAAGUUUCUGGGGACAGAGACAGGAACUGAGUGGCUGAGGGAAGAAGAGAUGUCUUCUUGCAGUGGCAUUACCACCUCAUGCCAGGUUAAAGUUCAUUAAACUGUGGCUUCUGUCUUGGGAGCCCAGAAUUUAAAAACAUAAUAAUCUAAUUUCUCCUCCCAUGUUGAAGCUCCUCCAUUGCAGAAAACUACCAUGGUGCUGGGUGGGGACAAGCUGCAUGGGGUAGGUUAGCCCUACUCGUGCAGGUGGCUCCUCACCUCCCCCGCAAAGCAGCCAUUGGUUUGCUCCUCUUUUACGCGGCUGGUUUGCUUUAUUUCUUACCUCUGGAAAGGUGGUUGCCCUUUGGUGGGCUCUUGUAGACCCUCUCUGUUCUCAUCCUGUGAGGGAGUUACCAGGGGUGCUGUCAGCCUGCACCAUCACCUCUGUGCUUGGUAUGUGUGUGCCCAGUUUCUCUGGGCAGUGGAUGUGUGUGUUGCACAGCAUGAAAUGCAGUGAUGCAGUACACUAGGAGUUCUGUGCAUCAUUUUGAGAAACCAUAAGGGAUUUGAUGCUCCAGCA